UGGGGAAUAUUGGACAAUGGGCGAAAGCCUGAUCCAGCCAUGCCGCGUGGAUGAUGAAGGCCUUAGGGUUGUAAAAUCCUUUCGUGGGGGACGAUAAUGACGGUACCCCAAGAAGAAGCUCCGGCUAACUUCGUGCCAGCAGCCGCGGUAAUACGAAGGGGGCUAGCGUUGUUCGGAUUUACUGGGCGUAAAGCGCGUGUAGGCGGGUCGUUAAGUUGGGGGUGAAAUCCCGAGGCUCAACCUCGGAACUGCCUUCAAAACUGGCGACCUGGACUCAAGCAGAGGCAAGUGGAAUUGCGAGUGUAGAGGUGAAAUUCGUAGAUAUUCGCAGGAACACCAGUGGCGAAGGCGACUUGCUGGGCUUGUAGUGACGCUGAGACGCGAAAGCGUGGGGAGCAAACAGGAUUAGAUACCCCCGUAGUCCCUGAGCGGGCUGGCAAGGCGCAU
This 447-nucleotide ribosomal RNA is filed under the name uncultured bacterium. Its description in RNAcentral is "bacterial SSU rRNA". It matches the Rfam family "Bacterial small subunit ribosomal RNA", at positions 355 to 825 of the family's 1533-position model. The record is from RNAcentral.